Molecule: ribosomal RNA, 454 nt
Filed under: uncultured bacterium
Lineage: Bacteria
Description: bacterial SSU rRNA
Rfam family: Bacterial small subunit ribosomal RNA
Source: RNAcentral
GGUGAACGCUGGCGGCGUGCCUAACACAUGCAAGUCGAUCGGAGCAGCAAUGCUUAGAGGCGAACGGGUGAGGAAAACGUAGUAACCAACCCUUUAGACGUGGGAUAGCCACUGGAAACGGUGGGUAAUACCGGAUAAGCUCGAGAGAGGAAAGGCAGAGAAGCGCUAAGGACGACUGCGCCCAUCAGAUAGUUGGUGAGGUAAAGGCUUACCAAGUCAAAGACGGGAAACCGACGUGAGAGCGUGUACGGUCACAAGGGCACUGAGAGACGGGCCCUACUCCGUACGGGAGGCAGCAGGUGGGGAAUAUUGGACAAUGGACGAAAGUCUGAUCCAGCGACGCCGCGUGGAGGAAGAAGUCCUUCGGGAUGUAAACUCAUGAAGCUAACGAAUAAGACGGAAGGGGAACCUUCCGGGAGAAGGUAAUUAGUGAAAAGCCCCGGCUAACUACGUG